Molecule: long non-coding RNA, 983 nt
Organism: Mustela lutreola (European mink)
Lineage: Eukaryota; Metazoa; Chordata; Mammalia; Carnivora; Mustelidae
Exons: 2
Source: RefSeq, a predicted model, not a curated record
GGAGUUUAUUUGCAUUCCAGAGCCAGGCUAACGGAGGGAGUUUGUGCUCCGUGCGAUAAUGCAGGGCUCUCAGGAGAAAAACCUGCAGGAUCCCGGCGGAGGAAACGCUCACUCACACCCGGCGGACCCCUGAGAGGACAGGCCCACCAGUCCCCCGUGCCGAGCGAGGGGAGAGGAGGUGCUACCUAGGGGCGGAGGAAGAAGCCAAAGGACAGGCCCUGGGAGAACGGCGAUGUGGAAGAACAAGGCAGAAUCAACACGGGGCCCCUCAGAGGACGUUGAGUCUUCGGCCCCGCCUCCCCUCACCACAUUCCCAUCGCUAAAUAAAGUCACAAUUGUCUGUGUACUGCAUCUGGACCCUUCCGGUGUCAACGCGAUCCAACCCCGCAGCACAGGUCAGGGUGCACGAGCCGGGGGCGAGGAGGAACCAGCCCGGGAGCGAUGGGCGCGGCGGCUCGUAGGGCGCGGCGACUGGAAGGAAGCCACGUCCCAGCCCUUCUGCUGUGGCUGGUGUCGGGAAAGCCGUGCCCUGCGGCAGCGGAUGUCUCGGGUUUCUCCCGCCUCCGGCGCUCCCACCCAGCGGAACCUGCCCCUGGCGAGCCGCGCCCCCGAAGGGACCAGGACUUAAGGCUUAAGCAAGCCUUGCUUCACGUAAUUUCUGCUGAAUGCCUGCUUGACACACGGGAGGACUUGAUACAUUUUAACUGUUGCUAUUCUUUUUCUUUAGGUAUGCCCACUUGCUACAGUGAUGUGAGGCACAGGCUUUGGUUUAAAAAGUCCUGGGUUUAGGGGCACCUGGGUGGCUCAGUGGGUUAAAACCUCUGCCUUCGGCUCAGGUCAUGAUCUCAGGGUCCUGGGAUAGAGCCCUCCAUCGGCUCUCUGCUCAGCGGGGAGCCUGCUUCCCCUUCUUUCUCUUUGCCUGCCUCUCUGCCUACUUGUGAUCUCUGUCAAAUAAAUAAAUAAAAAUCUUUUUUAAAAAAUAA